GAGACAGUCGGAGUCGCAUGACAAUGCCCAAUAGCAUUAAACGAGACAGAUGGACUUAGCUUGUGAUGACAAGACAGUUUUGCCAUUUACAAAAAGCGGCGUGAAUCAACUUGGAGGUAAUCGGGUAUGAGAUAUUAAAGCUAGGUUUGCUACUUAGCUUUGCAUGCUACACUAUCAGAGUAGCGUGACACCAAAUGAGACAGAUUGGCUUAGCAUGUGGCUAAUGGAAGAUUGUGCCCUUUUCCCCAAAAAAAAACAAAA
This is a long non-coding RNA of Hippocampus comes (tiger tail seahorse), 261 nucleotides long. RefSeq lists it as uncharacterized. The record is from RefSeq and is a predicted model, not a curated record. Lineage: Eukaryota; Metazoa; Chordata; Actinopteri; Syngnathiformes; Syngnathidae. The transcript has 2 exons.